RNAcentral lists this unclassified non-coding RNA (1249 nucleotides) under Hevea brasiliensis (rubber tree). Lineage: Eukaryota; Viridiplantae; Streptophyta; Magnoliopsida; Malpighiales; Euphorbiaceae. The record is from RNAcentral.
UCUUUUCCUUGUCUUUCUAGCUUAAAAAUUCACCAUUGCUUUAACUUGACGUCAAUCCCGCUGCAUCCAUACCUUGAAGAGCUGUAUCUAUAUGAAGUCAGUGAGGAACUUCUACAACAACAGGGAGUGAUGUUGCUCACCAUGAUGACAAUGAGGAUCACCAUGAUGAUGAUGAUGAUGGCAGCUUUACAGAGCCCCAGAGAAUCUUCCACCUCCCUUUCUUUACUUCCCCAUGAUUCCUUCACUGCUUCUCCUCUUUCUAAACUAAAGUCUCUGCAACUUGUGAGAAUUGAUGAUUUAGAAUCUUUGCCAGAGGCAUGGUUGCCAAACCUGACUUCUCUUGAGCAUGUAAAGAUUGAGGAGUGCCCUAAACUAUCAAGUUUACCGCGACAAGGUUUCAAGGCCUUGACUUCUCUCCGAAAUCUGAGGAUCUACAGGUGUGAAGGGUUAAAGUCUUUAUCUAAUGGGAUUCAACAUCUCACUGCUCUUGAGGAACUGAGGAUCAGGAGCUGUGAGGAGCUUGAUCUUUCAGAUGAUGGUAUGCAAUUGCAAGACCUUAAAAAGCUUCAUUAUCUGGAACUCAGUGAUAUCCCAAAAUUGGUUUUUCUUCCAAUCUGGAUUCAAGACACCCCUAGUCUACAAGAAUUGCAGGUUGAAGAAUGUAAAAAUUUGGUUGCUUUGCCAGAGUGGAUUGACAGCCUCACAUUGCUUCAAAGACUUAAAAUUUCCUAUUGCCCCAGAUUGACUUCAUUGCCAGAUAGGAUUCGCAAUCUUGCUGCUUUACAACAGCUUUGCAUUUGCAAUUGCCCUCACCUAUCUAGAAGAUGCCAGAAAGCCAGAGGUGCAGAUUGGCCCAAAAUUGCUCACAUUGCAAUGAUCAAAAUUAAUGGCAAGUGGGUCCAACGCCUAACAUGACAUCAUUCUGAUACAAGGAAUUCUCUGCUUGAAGGUUUCUCUUGACAUGCAAGGCCACUGUGCUCUGUUUGUAGACCUUAUGGGAUUGCUGGGUUGCUCAUUUUGCUUUUUGGAUGGAUGUUGCUUUUUUCAGUGGUUUUGUGCUGCCAUGUUGGUGGCUUUGCUAUGGUUGUUCUUAGGCUAAGUGUUCCAUGGGGUGUUCUCUCUGCUUGCCUUUUCUGUUCCUGCGUUUGUUUGCUGUUGCUUGUUGGUUGUACUGUUUUUGCAAGGGAUUCUUAUCGGCUCUUUGGCAUAGAAUUUAGGUGGGUGUAAGGGUUUGGCUUGCGGGUCUGGG